RNAcentral lists this transfer RNA (67 nucleotides) under Corallococcus exiguus. Its description in RNAcentral is "tRNA-Arg". The stretch from base 16 to 66 matches the Rfam family "tRNA", at positions 10 to 63 of the family's 71-position model. From Rfam's summary of the family: Transfer RNA (tRNA) molecules are approximately 80 nucleotides in length. Their secondary structure includes four short double-helical elements and three loops (D, anti-codon, and T loops). Further hydrogen bonds mediate the characteristic L-shaped molecular structure. tRNAs have two regions of fundamental functional importance: the anti-codon, which is responsible for specific mRNA codon recognition, and the 3' end, to which the tRNAs corresponding amino acid is attached (by aminoacyl-tRNA synthetases). tRNAs cope with the degeneracy of the genetic code in two manners: having more than one tRNA (with a specific anti-codon) for a particular amino acid; and 'wobble' base-pairing, i.e. permitting non-standard base-pairing at the 3rd anti-codon position. Lineage: Bacteria; Pseudomonadati; Myxococcota; Myxococcia; Myxococcales; Myxococcaceae. The record is from RNAcentral.
GGCCCGGAGAUGAUUGCCAAAACGGCGUUGGCCUCCGGAGCCAAAGGCCGUGGGUUCGAAUCCUGCA